AACACCUAGGAGGAGCUGAGAAAAGGUCAGCAACUUGCAAGUAGAUGCAAGGAGGAAGCACAACCUCAAAGGAUUCCUUUACUGUAAACACCACUUGUAAAAUAAGGCCCACCUGCCUGGGCUAAAAGAGAACCAUUGUUUCUCAUCAGCUCAUUCUCUCCAUUCACAGAGCUUUACAGAAAUGUUAUUCUCUCCACGAUCCCCUUAUUCUUAUUAUUCCUCUGACUUGAUGAGCCAGUGACCUCAUUCUGUUGCAUGAUAGCCUGGCACCACCAUAUGGGUGCACUGGCAAACGCCAGGGCGCCAUCUGUAGGGGUCCAAAACCAGGCCAUCAGCAAAUGUUCUUGCUGUUACUCACUGUAAGUUCUGAUUCUGGGGCAAGGAGAGUAAAAAUCAAAAACAAAUGAUCACAGUUGCCCUACUUUUGUGUUACUAGUCUUGCCUUUUCAUACCCAAAAUACGCUGCAGUCAGAGCUUCUGGCAGGUUGCAUUUUGGAAAAAUAAAGACAGGAGGUUACUGUGCUAUUUUCCUCAAAGUAUCCUCAGACAUCUGGAAUGAUCUUCAUUCUCUAAUCCAAGCAAAAAUGAGCCAGGAUUUGAAAUCAAGGUCAAAACAUGGGUUUUUGAUAAAGAAUUGGUUAAAAUGAAUCAUGCUUGGGAUCAGUUCUGACCAGGCUAAGGACUGUGCAGAAUUCAGGGCCACGGCGUGGAGGUGCCAUCCCAUCGGCAGAUCCCCAAGCGCACAUGUUACCUGAGCACCAGACAAUCAUGCAGGUCUUACUGCCUUGUGGCAAAUUCAACAUUUUCAAUGGGUUUCUCUAAAUUGCGAAUACCACGUCUUUUACCAGGCACGGGGGAAGGCAUUGAGUUGAUGCAGGCAUCCCGGUUAAAAUGACAUCAUAUGAUAAUUUCAUGAAAACCUUAAGAAUGAUUUUUAUCUGAUAUACAUGUAUGCUAACUACUGUACCAAGUUUGGGUACCUAAAUUUUAGUUAUUCUGCCUUUCAUAAUGGGAAAAAAAAUGUGACUUGGCCUGAUUUGAGGUAUUUUAAACAUAAUUUCCAUUUAAAAAUUCAGCAGGCCUUUGCAUUAAGGUACUUUUCUAUUUUGAAAAUAUAACCCCUCAUUUCAUUUCCACAUGCUGAAAAUAGGAUUCCUUUAAUGAUUAAGAGGCAGAAAAGUCAGGUAAUGCACAAAAUUAAAUAUAACUGCCUGUGCUGAUGUGUAAGCUGAGGAACAACCAUUUUACUUCAUUUAUUUUAUUUUUGUAACUCCCAAUACUCAAAGCUCUUCAGAUGGUUCAUAAAAAUUACAACCCACAAAUCAAAUACAAAAUGAUAAUAAUGUAAAAUGAAAUCUGUAACAGACAAUUUUUUAAAUGGUGACAGUAAAAUGAUGGGUCCACAUAAAACAACUGACAUCAAUGACCCAUCAUUUUCGUUUAGGACAUUUUAAACUGAAUCAUUUCAGCACCACCAUUUCCAGCUUACAGUUAAGGGGAAAUGUAUAAUUCUGCCACAAGCGCCACUGCCACAGAGGGUAGAUUUGAAAUUUAACCUUGUCCCAGGGAUGUCUAACCUCCCACUCCAGGUUAGGACACAACAACCCAGAGGAACUGUGUGCGGGAGGAAUGUUCCCAUUACAGCUGGCAGACGUGCACCUGUUGAGGGGAUAAAUAAAGCAGCCCUUUUCUAGCUUGGCUUCCGUUCACUGCCAGUCCCUCGAGACUCAGGGGAAUGGAUACUGCAUCUUCUCCACAGCCUGUCCAAGUGGAAACAUGCCUCAAGUGUCAGGGAAGCGGCAGAUGCUCCUGCUCGCAAACGGUCCUGUUCAGACCCCGAGAGGUGACCGACUUCACUCCUAAUGCAUUCUUCCUUUGUCGAACAUGAGCAUCGCUCUUCAAAUGUAGAAGCCCAGGUAGGGGCGCUGUCCGUUUUUCUGGCCCUGCUCCUGGAUGUGCAGCAGCAGCUCAACACACAAACAUUUAGCAAGGGAAGGCUCUCCUGGCCCGAAGUGGCAGAUUACGUACAUUCCAACUGAGCACAGGCAGUGCCACCUUUCGGGGACAUAUUCUGAGCAAUCCACUAUCCCCCUUUGCUCUUUGGGAGUAUUUCUUUAAAGAAAAUGAGCUGCUAGAGUUUGCGAUGCUUUCGAGUUUGGCUCUUGCACUAGUUCAGGGGCCCCAAGAAGCGAAGGUGCAGUUUGAUGCAUAUUUAGACAGAAAAAGCCCUACAACUCCUAGCGUGCCUCAGCCAGCAUCUGCCUGGUCUUGGGUACCACAUGCCUUAGCUUGGUGGAGAGGCACACGUGUCUUUGGCUCCUCCACGUCAGGCUGCAAAAAGGCCUAAAGGAUGAUGCUCAGCAUCCUUUAGCAAGUGAUUCUCCAACUGAGGAUGGUGAACAACUUCCCAUUAAGUGAUAAUGGACUUCCAGGUCUUAUCAGGUCUUUAUUUUUCACCCCUGAACCAGGAAUUUUCUUCAUAGAAUCUUCAGUAAUGCAUAACUAGAAGAGGCAAAGAUUCUGGUUUGAGAUGUGUAAGGAAUCCAAAAGGGGGGGGGGGGGGGGGUCUGCCAGUUUUUCUUGAUUCUGCCCUGUGGAUUCUGUUCCAUAAACUGUCUGCUGGCAGCUUCUCAUUCUGAUGCAAGUCAAGCCAACAUGCAGGUGUCUGUUUUUUUAAAUGGGCUUUGAUUUCACAGCCAGCAACAUUUGUAAAACGUUUGGGUCACUAUUCUGCAAAUUGCAUAAAUUUGCACAAAUCACAGAUGGAGGCAUGGCGUUUUGCACAAAUAUGAAACUGUCAGAAAAUGCAAGGUAGUCAAGAUGCUUCCAUCCUUCUCACGUUAAAUGUCACAGCAAGAGCAAGAACUCAAACCUAACAAAUUUCCAAUUUGCACAAACGUGUGCAUGCAAUUUACAAAAAUUGUGCUAGAAAUCCACAGUUCCUAGCUCCUGCAAAAAUAGUUUCAGCAAUUAUGUGGAGGUUAAACACCCUGACUUGGCUUUCUUUGCCUAUUAGGUAAGAAAUGUGUCAAAACUUUGUUAAGCUUAUAGUGCCGCACACCCAUAGUUCAGGCCCUGUUCUUUGAGUGUUAAAAAAGGAAGCGUAAGGAACGCAGAAAAGCACCCCUACUUUCUUCUGUGAAAUAUAUGAGAGGAUGUGACAUGUGAAGACAUAGUUGUAGAGCCUGGGCCAGUGGCAGGUAAUAUACCCCUAAACCUGAAGCUCACCAGACGAAUUCCUGCAAAUCCUCCAAACACAUUGCGAUUGUACAGCGCGGCAAAGGGGAAUGUGCUGGCUCUGGCACCAUUUCUCGGUUGUUCUGCCGAUGGGUUUAGGUCAGGUGUGGCACCUACAAACGUUCAUCGAGACUAUAAAUAAGGACUCUGGUCUGGGGUUCACAGCCCAGCUGCUUUCGCAGAGAAGCACCGCUUGCGAACAAGGGCGCCUCACCACAGGCCCACCAAGGUCUGUGCAACUGGACUGGAGAGAGAGGGGAGUUGCUGAAAUUGUGCCAGUUAUAGUAGCGAAAAAUACAGUGUUUACAGAGGUGGCAUGUCUGACAGAAGCCCACAUCUCCACUGCCUCGCUUGGACCCCAGAGGUGGCCCCUGGGUAUUCUUGGGGUACUUACCUCAGGGCCUCUGUUUAGCCCACUACUAUGAACCAACUGCUUUCUAGUAACCUACUUUUAGCAAACACUUUCUACAGCAGCUUUCCUAUCUGGUGCCCUCCAGAUGUUGGAUUACAAUUCCCAUCAUCCCCAGACAGCUACAGUUUGACUGAUGUGGAGGGCAGGGGUCCGAAAAGCCUUUUUAUAUGACCCGAUCUGCUGCAGAAUCAUUCAUCUGCCAUGCAACCCCUCUGCUCCACUAAGGUUACACAGUUAUGUUAUAUUUUUGGCAUCCCAGAGGGGCAACCUUUUCGGAGGAAAUCUGAUAAGGCUACCCUAUACCUGUUCAGACUGAGGAGAAAUCCUCCUACUCACGCAUGCUAGGAGUUAUACAACUUUUUUUCCCGCCAAAACAGGCAAAAGAUUUUGCCCUUCAUUUCCUCUGGAUGAAUAAACCCCUAAAAAUGAACAAAACUACUGAACUUUAUCAGAUUCCCCGAGAAUAAGAUGCAUUCUGCCUCUGCAUCUCUCUCUCUCUCUCUCUCUAUUCAAAUACAUGCUCACAUAUGUUACAUUAUCAUGUUUCUAUCACACCUUUUCCUUCAAAGAGCUCAAAUGGUCGCACAUGGUCACCCCGUCCCUAUUUUUGCCUAACGACACUGCAGGACUGAGAAAUGCUGAUUGACCAAAGAUACCAAUGAGCUUCCAUGUUGAAUUGCUCUGUUCCAGCCAUUAACUGUAAUCACUGUUACCUUCUGGAGAGAUUCCAGCUCUUUAAGCCCUCCAGAAAGCCCUUCAGAUAGAGCCUUCAUCCUCUGUUAAGCAAAACCUGUACGUGAGAGAGUAAAACGUGUAACUGUAUUUUAUGACACACUUCCAUUCACUUCUGGUACUCAUCACGCCAGUUGGACAAGGAGCCAAGGACUCUUCUCCAGUUGAAGGGCUGCAAGAUGAGCAUCCUUUCUUUUGAAGAUGCCCUCUAUCUGAAGGACUGUCCAAUCCAAGUCCAGUUUAAAGAUAAAAGAACUAUCAGAAGGGUCUUCUGACUGCCCUAGACAUAAGACUCCACAAGGCAUAGUGAGCACCUGAUCAGAAGCUUCCAUGCUCUGUUGAGUGUUCUGGAUUUCUAUAUAAAUUUGUACCAUUCUAAAUUUGCAUCUAUAAAUAUCAGUGAGAAUAUAAGCAUUUUAGACCAAUUGCUUUCCUCUUGUGGCCAUCUGUGUAACCGAGAGCAUAUCUGAUGGUUUCCGGUAGGUGCACAUUAUAGGAAAAUGUCGCUGGUGCAUAGAAAGGGUGUUUUUGAUGUUCAUCUCUCUUCACUGAGGCACUCUCCACUAGCUAAAGGGAAAUGUCAGGGUAUUCCACAAAAGAGCUUAAAAGUCAGUUCUACGAACGAUGCUUUGUUGGGUUAUUCCAGAACGGGCAGCCCAUUUCAGUUUUAUGACAACAUGCAUGUUAGAUAUUCUGGAUUCCUUGCCUGACACAUGGAUUCCAGGGGUGUGAAGCAAGAACUACAUUAGUUCCUGAUGAAAAUGCCUUCCUACAUUACACGGGACUUUAAAUAUAGAACACCAGUCCAUGGAUGGGCUUGCACAAAGUGUACGUGCAGUGCAGGGCAGGUAAAGAUUAUAUAGUCCUGCCCCAUUGUCACUCUAUGUGAUGUGUGGGCACAAAGUGAUUGGUGGCCAUGCUGGCGGUGUAUCAAAGGGCUAUUAGGAGACUUGAGUCAACGGCACUUGAAAAGAAGGGAUUUAAGUCCGUAUUCAGGUCAGCAGCGGCGGCCAAUCAGCGGCCGGGAAGCCAAAAUAGCCAACAAUUGGUAUUUGCCCUCCAAACGCAGGAGGCGAGAGAAGGAAUGGCAACGUUAUUUCCACACCUAUCAAGGCCUGUGGAAGGAUUCUGGACAGAGCAGAAGAACGAGACCCAGAUGAAGCGCUGCUUGCCUGGGAGCCCCAGUCUUUGGAAAUCACCCGGAGAGCUUCGGAUACUGAGUGGUACAGAAAUGUAAUAAAUGAAAGACGGAACAGGAAUUUCCAGGCAGCAACACCACAAGCACGGGGAAAACCUUCUUCAAGGCACUAUAAAAACUAAAUAUCACAUCGCAUUCAUCUCAACAUUUCAUUUCAUUUGGCAACGAGAAAGGGGACUCAGAUCUCCCUGGAGAACACGCUGUCCACCAAGGGAGUGGAAGUUCCCUGGAUCCCAUCUGACAUGAGCAAGAAAAGGGAAAGCUCUUUAUUUCCGCCAUAUGGGCAAGAAGGGGCAUCCUUAUCCACUGCACGUGGUCCCAAGUUAUGAGCCUAUUAGGGAAGAUCGAGCAGCUACCAUGCAGGUAAGCAGCAAGUCAGUUUCAAGACGGCAAACCCAAGCUCAUCAAGGCCGGUAUGGCAAAGUGGUGAGAGGGUUGGACUAGGAAGACCCAGAUUCUACAUCCCACCUGGGUGAUUCUGAGCCAUUCGUAGACUCUCAGCCUAGCCUACCUCACAGGGUUAUUAUGAGAAUAAAAUAGGAAGUAUUCUAAGGAUUAUGUAAGCCACCUUGGGUUCCUUGGAGGAAAAUGCAGGAUAAGAAUAUAAUAAAUUUUUAAAAGUAUUAAAAGAUAUAUUCAGAAACCGUUCCCUGCUUACAUGUCAUUGGGUACUGUAGUCACAUACUUAAGAGGAAAACAAAUCAUAACAGCAUGUUCACCACCCAACUCAGCUUCAUAUGUGGGACCACUGCAGAAACCAACAAUCAAAUUGCACCAUGUUCUACCACAGUGAAUUCCAAAAGGGCAGAGGUCAGCCUAUGUCAACCUGGUAUCCACCAAAUGUUUUGGACAGCCAUUCCCAUCAGCUGCAGCCAGGUUGGCCGAUAGCCAGGAAUUCUAGGAGCUGUGGCACACAAUUUCUGGGGACCACCAAGUUGGGGGAGGCUGCUCUGCUUCUCCCUCUUUCCUGCCAAGUAUGGCUGAUUUCAGCUCAAACUCAACCCCACUUGGUGAAUGGCAUUUCUGAAAUUCAGAAGGCGACAAACCCAGUGGUAACCAAUUUGACUCUUGACAGAAAAGCAAGACCUGAAAGAGAGAGAAGGCAGGAAGAAAUUAUGUUCUCCUGUUGCUUCUAGUUGUUACAGAUUGCCCUUGCUGAAUAUUUCCAAGUGGAUUGUUUGUAGUUGGCUUGACCCAUGAUGGCUUAGGUUGUCCCUGCUGCAUUUAAGGGUUGUCAAGGUGGCUUAUAAACCAAAAAUAAGCCACCUUGACAAACCUGUCUUGUGUUCACCCAACAUGACAACCCCCAACAGCUUGUAAGCUUAUGGUAGGUUGUCAUGUCAUGCAAACCUCAUCAGUGAAAUUCCCUAUGUCAAUUUCUAUGUCUAGGCCCCAUUUCUGAGUUUCUAAUUUGCUUGGCAGUGCCCCAUCGCCCUGCUUGACCCUGUAAAGACAGGGACAGAACAGUGCAAUUUCAGAAGGCCCAAUGCUUCAAAAUUCCUUGGUAAACCAAACUGAAGAAACCAACAACCCAUAAGAAAUUACAACCAAAUCAGAAUGUUGCUGCAUUGAAUGCAAGCUCUGAUGCCCCAAGACAUGAUAAACGCAGCUGCUUCAAAAGGCUUCUUUUGCAUUCAUCCGGUCACCCAUUCCAGAUCCACAGUGGAGGAAGCUUUGGCACUUCUGGUGUGAACUCGGAAGCACAGUUGGUCGGUGUCUCCAUCUUCUCUACACCUCACUUCCCUGACAGCAAGUCCCCUCUCUUUGGCUGCCUGCUAUUUUCACAAUCCUUUGCUCCUUGCAAACAGGGAAGGGGAAGGCAAUAGUCUUAUGAUAAUCAUGAGAGAUAUUCUUAUGAUUUAAUGCUGUGCUCUCCUAAUCAAGUACCUUCCAAGGAAGGGCCACCUUUUCUACAGGUUCUCUAACAUAAGCAUGAUCACCUGUGCAAUCAAGACCCCAUGGACAAGCAACCUGUGCUGUGAAUGUUUGAAGACCAUCACCCACCCCCAUGAACUUGGCUUCCUUCUUUGAGUUCUGAUUUUGUGGCGAGCUUCAUGGGAUGAGUCCCAUGGCACUAUAAAAGACAGGGCCCAGUGCUGUGUCUGUCCCCAUGUGUGAAUCAUACUGGGCUAAAGAAAACAUCACAACUAUUUUUCACACCUGCUUGCUAGAAAAAAAAUCCAGAAUUCCAGACGUAGAAAGCUGCAGGGUGACCUUAAAAUCUCACGCCUGCUUCUCCUUUCUUCCAGCCAUCACUCAGACACUUAUUUUUAGAUAAACGACAAGGCGUUAAGCACAAUGCUCUGUUUCAUGGGGACACAAAGAUAUGCCUUCACCUGUCACCCAUUCUGAUUGACUGGAACUCCUGAACUGCAUGCUUUGAAGACUCAACAGAGAUCUGAUCACCUGGACCUCCCAGAAGGGAAUAUCUGAUCAUACCUCCAACUGUUAAUUUAAAAAAAUCUUACAGGUUUAAUUUGUUUUCAUUAGUUGCUAGGAUUCAGCUACUGCAAAUGUUAUUCAUGUGUUUCCUUGUGUUGCAGGGCUUAUUUUUAUAUGCUGUGCUUUAUAUGAAAUCUGCCGCAUGAGUUUUGUUUAAGAAUGAAUAUUUUUCAAUUGUUAGGAGCGUGCACAACUAUAUCAUAAUGAGAAUGGCAGGAGUGAUUUUUGUUGUUGUACCUGCAUAAAGAGAAGUACGUAUGUUCCAAAGUGAGCUCUUUAAAAAGUAUUUGAUUUUUGUUAAUGUGGUGCAGAGUAUGAAUGGGAAAGAUCUGCCAAUGGAGAAGUCUACUGGGUGUCCCUGGGUAGCAGAAAGCCACCAUAUUUCAUCUACCUGAAUCUGGGAGUUCUUUUUUGAAGUCUGCUUUUUAAGAAAGAAAGUAGGCGAGAGUUGAUUGUAUCGAUUAAUAAACAUACAUACAAGGAGGGGAGUUUGCUUGAACUGUCAAUGGGUUGGUGGGUGGGAAAGGACAGCUGGACAUGCCACCAAAUCAAAUGAUGGUUUAUUUGACAGUCAUCAGCUAAAACAGCGUUUGGUUUGCUAGCAAGUACAUUUGCUGUGCAGACUCCAAAGCUAGCAGGAAGCCAGGUUUACACCACAAAUGCAGAACCCCCUCUUGAAUUGACUUUCUCACAUCCUGUCUCCACCCAGCUAUCACCAGUUCAACUCAUUUCACAGAAAUGUGUAACUUGCAAAAAUACAUGUUAAAAAGGCCCUGUUCCAAAGAUGCAUUGCAAAUGUACUUGUGGCAAGUAAAACAGAUCUUCCAUCUUCACUGUUUAAAAAUAGCAUGCUGUUAUCUAGGCACAUGGACAAAUAAGCAUUUUUAUCACUUGAUGACUUAAAGUCCAAUGUGUCUAAAAGGAAUUCAGUCUGAGCUGACAUCAAGUGCAACAGAAACAGAGAAACAAAGACACAGAGCAAUUCAGGGAUCUCCCAGGUCAUCUAGUCUGACCCCUGGCUCCAGCUGGCUCUGCUCAUGACAUGCCAGAUGAGUCCAUUUGUAUUAGCUCAUUUGAUGUGCAGUCAGUGAGCAAUAAAUCUGUGAGGAAUAUAAAUUAGCUGCUUGAUAUAAUGUGUAUCUUCUUCUCUCAAAAGUUUGGUUACCACUUUUCUCUUAUUUGUCUUAACAAAAUCCCUAUUUGGUAAGUUCAGCAGAGAGAUCUUUGCUGAACUUACCAAGGCUGCUAACUGUGUGUUUAUUUGCUGUAUCUCCUUUCCGUUUUGUCAUAGAAUUGAGAUCUGAGCACAAAAUCAGAAGCAUUUCCUUUUCUGCUGUCUUGCUACUUAAACACUAGGUGGCACUGUGGUAUAGAAGAAUAGCACAAACACACAAGAGGAAAUAACCCUUUCUUUCAGCUUCACACUUAAAUGCCACAUUUUCCCAGCUCUGAAAAAAAAACGAAAGAAAACAAAACACCCUAAUUAAAACUGCUGGUUAGACACUGAAGAAAAAACGGAGGGUCAUGACGUUGUCUAAUGAGUCCAUAAACAAUUGAGAGCAGGGAACAAUGAGCACAGCAGAAAUGCCUCAGUAGAAAAACCUAGCACUUAUGCAAGACCACUCAAGAGUCUUGCUUGAUGCUCUGUUAUUACAUACAUGAGCCCCAAAGCUCAGGCACUUCUGCUAUGGCGAUGAGAAACCAAUAAGAAGCUACCCAACCACAUAGUUUAGCAGUAUGUCCAGACUAAAACAAACUGUGAUUAGUCUCUUAGGUGGUACAUGAGCUGCCUUGUUUUACACAUUUUGGGGUCUGACUCAACUUUAAACUGCUGGAGAGGGAAGGGAGAAUGCAUGAGCCUGAGGUUUAUUUAUGUGGUAUUGUUGUUAUGUUUGAGCAAAGCUAAUUAGACUCUCUCUUGAAUGUUGUCCACACGUAUUUAAAAGCCAUGCACAUACACCUGGCGUGAAUGCACAUACGUAUAUAUAAAACCCAAAGGACCAAAAUGAGCCCAGAGCUAGCUGGUGGCAAAGGUCCUUUGCAAUUUACUUGCAGGAGCUGCUUCUGCUAAGUAAUGUCUAGAUGCUACUUUUAUUUGUCAUAACCUAUGACAUAAUAGCCCAUAAAAAGUCAUCCCUGGCCAAAAAAAUGCUUCUUGUCUCUUUUAUGACAUUUUUAUAGUGAGGAUAGCAUUAAAGUGAAAUAGGUUAGUAUUGAAAAUAGACCUUUUCCAUUAACAGGCAAAUUCUGGUAGGAGAUUUAUGGCUUUUGGGGAGCCAAGGAUUGUACUACUUAUUCUCCCUUCCUUUUUCUUUCUCCCUCUCCCAUGGGUGCGCAAGCUUGCAACAAGCACAAAGAAACACAAGAGCAAUUCGUGGAUACUGGAGCCCUGUGAUGUAGGGUACAGUGAGCAUAAAUGACUAGAACAAAAUAAUUGAAUUAGCUUCACGGCUGAGCGGGAACUAGGAAACUGGAUCCCCUGAGUCCCAGUCCAGCACUCUCUCUGCACAAUACACUUGUUCCUUCUACUUCUGAUGUUCAGACUGCCGUACACAAAACGGGAGGAUUCACACUCAAGAGUGAGACAGAAGAAGGCUUGGGAGAACGUCAAUGUUUUCGAAAGUACAUAACAUGGAAAAAACGAAUAAACAUCCAGUGAAGAUGGAGGGUGUGCGUUGUUUAUGGAAUGCUGAUGGAGUGUUGCGAAGGACAAAAUGGGAAAACCACACGGGGCGGGGAUGGAAGGAAUGGGUGGACUCCCGAACAGCAUGAUUCCUCCACACCGCAACAUUUUUCUGGAGAGGCCACCUGAAGAAUUAACGGCAAUCCAAUGCUCUGUUCUGCUGCGAAAGCUGUGAAGUAACUGCAUAAUGUAUCUUAGGGCAAGACUGUGGAAGAGCCAUGUCAUUGCAUGCUUUCUCCCAGCUGCUCCAGCAUAGACAUAAUUCCAUGCCAGAUCAUGGCUUUUCCUGCUAUCUUGAACAUGUGCCAGGAAAGCAUCCAUCAUCCAGGGUUCCAAUGCUCCUAUGUUCAAGAGAAUGAGGUAUCCUUUGGAGAAGUUCAUAAAGCUGAAGCCCCCCUCUGACCUUACCACAUGGAGAAGUGAGGUCGACAUGUAGCAGCUGACCAGCCCCAGUCUCUCCAGUGGGGUUCUGAGGGUGCUUGCAGAUGGACAGGUCCUAGCACCACCAGUCUACCAGUUAAUGGGGCAGGGGCGCAUAUGUGUGUGUUUCAUAAGAGGAAAGGCAGAAGAAGAGGUUGAAAACCACAGGAUGGACCCCACAGAAAUUCCUGGCUUGAUGCAGACCAAUUGCACAAUGAAGGCCUUGACUAGCAUUAACUGCGGUUUUGUUUGGAGAACUGGCUUGCAGCCCUGGAAGGCUUCAGAAGAGGAUUUGAUCUACGCCUUCUCUCAGCCUGCUUAGCUAGGUUGCCCACUUUCUCGCCUAAUGCAGCAAAUGGUACUCCCACAGCACGGAAGAGUCUCUGGGCACAACUGGGUUCCUUCCUAGGCUGCAGGACUGUAAGAGAGGCAGGAUAGGUCUCCGGGUUGAACCCUCCAGCGCAAAUUCACAAGCAAGCCCCACUGAGUUCAACCAAAGGUGUUCUCUAGUACAGAGGGUGCAGCACUAAGUACCAUCAUUUCUGGAAUUUAUGAAGGAUUUUGGACUAUUAAAAUUUUGGACUAUUAAAAUUUGGACUAUUAAAAAGUCCAAAAUUUUGGACUUCAGAUUUUGGACUAUUAAAACACCCCGAAGAUGCA
Varanus komodoensis (Komodo dragon) is the source of this 11784-nucleotide long non-coding RNA. RefSeq lists it as uncharacterized. Lineage: Eukaryota; Metazoa; Chordata; Lepidosauria; Squamata; Varanidae. The transcript has 4 exons. The record is from RefSeq and is a predicted model, not a curated record.